CGAAGUAACACUAGCGAAUUUACGCCAGCGUCUGUUAGCAGAUUGGCAAAUUAACGAAAAUGCGCUACGCUAGCGCAUUCACGCUGGCGUUAGGCACUUUGUCGUUUAGUGAAUUUGCCCCUUUAAAGAGUGAACGUUUAAUUUUGAAAACUAAGAGAGUCUACGUUGAAGCUCUUUUCUCUUAUACAUUUUUGCCUUUUUCACUUUAUUUUAGAAUGCGAUUCGUAUCCGAGUCAUAGAAGCCAAAAACCUUGUUGCCAAGGAAAUUUUAACCAAAUCGUUGAACCCUUAUGUUGUGAUAUGCGGAGGAGGAACAACAGCAAAGACAAGGGUGAUACACAAGAACUUGAAUCCAAAGUGGAAUGAGACCUUUGAGGUAUCGCAUCACAUACCCAGAUAUUUAUCUGUACAGUAAAUUCAGUAGAUUGCAUCUUAGAUAUUAUAACCACAUUUCUCGUUUUAUCCUUAGAUAUUAUAUUCUGACCUCCCAGAUUAGGAGAUAGAAUUUAAUCUCAUCUCUGACAAAGGUGUUAAGAUAAACCAGCAAUUGGGCAGGUGAGUAUGUCCAUAUGUGACCCUAUAAUAACAAUAAGCAGCUGUAGAAUCUGUAGAUACAGUUUCUAACUAUUUUUCAUUUCCCAUAUCUAGUUGCAGAAUUAGAAUUAAAGAGGUGCCAGAGAGAGGAUUCAUAGACAAGGUAAGUGUAGCCAGUCAUGUUGAUAUAUAAUGAUAAUAAUAGUAAUACUAAUAAUACAAAGCUUUCUGAGGCAUCUGACUAUGUUUUUUUACUUUACUAUUUUAGUGGAUAGAUUUGGAGAACGUAAAGUCUGGCCAGCUUCAUAUCAAGGUGACACGUCUCAGGCUACUUUCAGACCCAACCCAACUGGAAGAGGUAAAGUCUCUGUUCCUUUAUGCUGGCUGCCGUGGAGAUACGUUGUAAUGUUUUGUUGGUGCAUCAAAUUUUUUUUUGUUUUUCCAGGUGCUGAAAAUAAACGAACAAUCUUGGCCAAAAAGAGAUAAUGAGAUUGCUUCAGCCGUUCUGUACACCUAUAUUGAAAAAGGAAGGGGUCUGCCUGUUCUACAAAUGAAGAAGGACAAUCUGAAAGCGUUAGCUGUCGUGCAGGUUGGCGUUGAAGACAAUGUAAAGAAGUUUGGAAGCAGAAUAAAUAACGGAGAAGCAGAGUGGAAAAAGAGGUUCCAGUUAUUGAUAAGGAACCCACUUAAUGAGGAACUGAAGCUUAAGGUGAGUACAAAUGGGCUUUUCUUGCGGCUGCUGUUGUACCCAUGUAGGGUGCUGUGUUGUGUUUGUUUGCUUUCUGACCCACUUAUGACCGGUAUUUUCACAGGUUCACAAUGAACACAAUAAGCCCAUCGGAAGUAUUACCGUGCGCCUAUCUCGCCUUCUGGCUGCUUCGGAAAUUACCUUGCAGGACUGGCUGCCCCUGGAAUCAACUGAAC
Molecule: long non-coding RNA, 1458 nt
Organism: Xenopus laevis (African clawed frog)
Lineage: Eukaryota; Metazoa; Chordata; Amphibia; Anura; Pipidae
Exons: 3
Source: RefSeq, a predicted model, not a curated record